GAUGAACGCUGGCGGCGUGCCUAAUACAUGCAAGUCGAGCGAACAGACGAGGAGCUUGCUCCUCUGACGUUAGCGGCGGACGGGUGAGUAAUACGUGGAUAACCUACCUAUAAGACUGGGAUAACUUCGGGAAACCGGAGCUAAUACCGGAUAAUAUAUUGAACCGCAUGGUUCAAUAGUGAAAGACGGUUUUGCUGUCACUUAUAGAUGGAUCCGCGCCGCAUUAGCUAGUUGGUAAGGUAACGGCUUACCAAGGCAACGAUGCGUAGCCGACCUGAGAGGGUGAUCAGCCACACUGGAACUGAGACACGGUCCAGACUCCUACGGGAGGCAGCAGUAGGGAAUCUUCCACAAUGGGCGAAAGCCUGACGGAGCAACGCCGCGUGAGUGAUGAAGGUCUUCGGAUCGUAAAACUCUGUUAUUAGGGAAGAACAAAUGUGUAAGUAACUAUGCACGUCUUGACGGUACCUAAUCAGAAAGCCACGGCUAACUACGUG
RNAcentral lists this ribosomal RNA (497 nucleotides) under uncultured bacterium. RNAcentral describes it as "partial 16S ribosomal RNA". It matches the Rfam family "Bacterial small subunit ribosomal RNA", at positions 28 to 507 of the family's 1533-position model. The record is from RNAcentral.